GACGAACGCUGGCGGCGUGCCUAAUACAUGCAAGUUGAGCGCUGAAGGUUGGUACUUGUACCGACUGGAUGAGCAGCGAACGGGUGAGUAACGCGUGGGGAAUCUGCCUUUGAGCGGGGGACAACAUUUGGAAACGAAUGCUAAUACCGCAUAAAAACUUUAAACACAAGUUUUAAGUUUGAAAGAUGCAAUUGCAUCACUCAAAGAUGAUCCCGCGUUGUAUUAGCUAGUUGGUGAGGUAAAGGCUCACCAAGGCGAUGAUACAUAGCCGACCUGAGAGGGUGAUCGGCCACAUUGGGACUGAGACACGGCCCAAACUCCUACGGGAGGCAGCAGUAGGGAAUCUUCGGCAAUGGACGAAAGUCUGACCGAGCAACGCCGCGUGAGUGAAGAAGGUUUUCUGAUCGUAAAACUCUGUUGGUAGAGAAGAACGUUGGUGAGAGUGGAAAGCUCAUCAAGUGACGGUAACUACCCAGAAAGGGACGGCUAACUACGUG
Molecule: ribosomal RNA, 497 nt
Filed under: uncultured bacterium
Lineage: Bacteria
Description: partial 16S ribosomal RNA
Rfam family: Bacterial small subunit ribosomal RNA
Source: RNAcentral